This 117-nucleotide ribosomal RNA is filed under the name Azohydromonas australica. Lineage: Bacteria; Pseudomonadati; Pseudomonadota; Betaproteobacteria; Burkholderiales; Sphaerotilaceae. The record is from RNAcentral.
AGCCUGAUGACCAUAGCGAGGUGGUCCCACCCCUUCCCAUCCCGAACAGGAUCGUGAAACACCUCAGCGCCGAUGAUAGUGCGGAUUCCCGUGUGAAAGUAGGACAUCGUCAGGCUA